RNAcentral lists this small RNA (27 nucleotides) under Bombyx mori (domestic silkworm). Its description in RNAcentral is "ovarian small RNA-35926". The record is from RNAcentral. Lineage: Eukaryota; Metazoa; Arthropoda; Insecta; Lepidoptera; Bombycidae.
UGUGGGUGAUAGGGAGACGACCAGAGC